Molecule: ribosomal RNA, 275 nt
Filed under: uncultured bacterium
Lineage: Bacteria
Description: partial 16S ribosomal RNA
Rfam family: Bacterial small subunit ribosomal RNA
Source: RNAcentral
UACGUAGGUGACUAGCGUUGUCCGGAUUUACUGGGCGUAAAGAGCGCGCAGGCGGUCGUUCAAGUCGAGUGUGAGAGCCCCCGGCGUCAACUAGGGGAGGGGUCACUCGAUACUGAUCGACUCGAAGGCAGGAGAGGGAAGUGGAAUUCCCGGUGUAGUGGUGAAAUGCGUAGAUAUCGGGAGGAACACCAGUGGCGAAGGCGACUUCCUGGCCUGUUCUUGACGCUGAGGCGCGAAAGCUAGGGGGGCGAAACGGGAUUAGAUACCCUAGUAGU